RNAcentral lists this ribosomal RNA (1110 nucleotides) under uncultured cyanobacterium. RNAcentral's name for it is "bacterial SSU rRNA". It matches the Rfam family "Bacterial small subunit ribosomal RNA", at positions 389 to 1514 of the family's 1533-position model. Lineage: Bacteria; Bacillati; Cyanobacteriota. The record is from RNAcentral.
GAGCACGCCGCGUGAGGGAUGAAGGCCUCUGGGCUGUAAACCUCUUUUAUCAAGGAAGAAGAUCUGACGGUACUUGAUGAAUAAGCCACGGCUAAUUCCGUGCCAGCAGCCGCGGUAAUACGGGAGUGGCAAGCGUUAUCCGGAAUUAUUGGGCGUAAAGCGUCCGCAGGCGGCCUUGUAAGUCUGUCGUCAAAGCGUGGAGCUUAACUCCAUUUAAGCGAUGGAAACUGCAAGGCUAGAGUGUGGUAGGGGCAGAGGGAAUUCCCGGUGUAGCGGUGAAAUGCGUAGAUAUCGGGAAGAACACCAGCGGCGAAGGCGCUCUGCUGGGCCAUAACUGACGCUCAUGGACGAAAGCCAGGGGAGCGAAAGGGAUUAGAUACCCCUGUAGUCCUGGCCGUAAACGAUGAACACUAGGUGUCGGGGGAAUCGACCCCCUCGGUGUCGUAGCCAACGCGUUAAGUGUUCCGCCUGGGGAGUACGCACGCAAGUGUGAAACUCAAAGGAAUUGACGGGGGCCCGCACAAGCGGUGGAGUAUGUGGUUUAAUUCGAUGCAACGCGAAGAACCUUACCAGGGUUUGACAUCCUGCGAAUCCCUUGGAAACGAGGGAGUGCCUUCGGGAGCGCAGAGACAGGUGGUGCAUGGCUGUCGUCAGCUCGUGUCGUGAGAUGUUGGGUUAAGUCCCGCAACGAGCGCAACCCACGUCGUUAGUCGCCAGCAUUUAGUUGGGCACUUUGGGGAGACUGCCGGUGACAAACCGGAGGAAGGUGUGGACGACGUCAAGUCAUCAUGCCCCUUACGUCCUGGGCUACACACGUACUACAAUGCUGCGGACAGAGGGACGCGAAGCCGCGAGGUGAAGCAAAUCCCAGAAACCGUGGCUCAGUUCAGAUUGCAGGCUGCAACUCGCCUGCAUGAAGGCGGAAUCGCUAGUAAUCGCAGGUCAGCAUACUGCGGUGAAUACGUUCCCGGGCCUUGUACACACCGCCCGUCACACCAUGGGAGUUGGCCAUGCCCGAAGUCGUUACUCUAACCGUUCGCGGAGGGGGGCGCCGAAGGCGGGGCUGAUGACUGGGGUGAAGUCGUAACAAGGUAGCCGUACCGGAAGGUG